CCCACGGCAACACCAGAUCCUUAACCCACUGAGCAAGGGCAGGGAUCGAAAGGGAUAGAACCUGCAACCUCAUGGUUCCUUGUCGGAUUCAUUAACCACUGCACCACGACAGGAACUCCUCAUGGCUGAAAUUUUAAAUGAAAUUAUAAGGUCUCUGAUUACAUCUGUCUAUAUGUUUAUGUGUAUCUAUGUUCUAGAUAUGUAGUAUUCUAUACCUCUAGAUAGUAUUACCAAAAUUAAUUUGUAAAAGAGCUCUACAAUUGACUUAAACAAAUGCUCACAUAUAUUUAGUAUCCAUAAAAAUUCUCCAAAUUAUGAUAGAAAAUAACCCAAAUGCCUUUUGGGUUCACAUGAUUUGGGAAAAUAUUUUGUAUUAAAGUUUAUUGUGUGAUUCAAAUAGAUAUGUAUUAGAAUUAUCAGCCUUUAAUAUAAACAUACUGCUUUUAUUCUACCUAUGUUUACUAGUUAAUAAAUCAAUGUCAAAAAAUUUGUCAAUAAGAAAAUUAACAUACUAUGAUGAAAUUUUCAUAAGGAAGUAAAACCUAAUUGUUGAAGACAAGUAAAUUAAAUAGAUGCAGGUAGGGUAAAAAGUUUAUAGGUAAACAUUUAAAAUAAUUCCCCCAAUUAUUUUUGGUAACCUGAAACCUUAAAGUUUUGCUAGGUUAAGUUAAAUGAUGAGUCAAGUUAAAUUCAUGGAAUAUCCAGAUCAUUUCCAAGUAAAAUAAAAUAUUGAAACAUUAACUAUUAAUCAGAAUUUUACAUUCUUUGCUUCCUUUUACAGAGGAAUUAAAGAUAUUUUAGAUUGUUAAUAAGCAUGUUCUAUACCACCCUGAGAAUUUUUUUGUAAGAAAGCACAUAAUUCUAAGAAAUCAUGUAAAUAUUUAUAAGUCUGCUAAUCCAUAGAAUGCUAAUGUAAAAGACAGUUCAUAAUUGGCUGUGUCUUAGUUUACACUAGAAAUAUGAGGUUCUUAAGGGUUAAAAAUGCUAAUAUGUGUAAUUAAAACUACUAGAAAUAAGGGAAAGGAAUUAUAUGUGUGGUCAGAACUGCCUAAGAUUGGAAUACAUUUAAUUAAGUAAAUGAGUUUUAAUAUCAAAAGUAAGCUGGUACAAAAUUAGAAUUUUGUUUUUCUCUCUGUUAAAAAAAAAAAAAGUUAUUUUUUACUAUUGGUCCACUCUUGAUAAUGAGAGAUUGCAAAAGGAUUUUGUUCACCUUUUAAAUAAUCUGCCUAGAAAAAACAGAGAUCUUGUGUCUUGUCAAAAUAAUCACUAUACUCCAUGUUGUGUUCAUCAGGUUUUUGAUUACUUAAGUAAGCCUAGUCUUUCCAAUAUUGAAAGAAUUAAAUUAAUCCCACAACCAUGUACCAUUCUUUAUUUGUCUGUGAAGUCUUUGUCACUUUGGUUAAAUAGGUAACUCAGCAUUGUUUCACAGUAACCUAUGAUUCUAUACGACCAAGUAUUUUAAAACCUUUUGAUAUUUUUGACAAACUUCCCGUAAAUCAAAUUCUAAAUAAAGUCUUUCUGAUUUCAAGAUAACUGUGGGCUAGUCCAGAGGGCCUAUGGGACAUCUCAAAAAGAUUUGUUUUCUCUCUGUGUAAGAAGGGAGAUGUUGGCGCUCCUGUUGUGGCUUGGCAGUUAAGAGCCCAACAUAGUGUCAGUGAGGAUGUGGGUUCAAUCUUUGGCUUCAGUCAGUGGGUUGGGAAUCCAGGGUUGCUGGGGCUGUGGUGUAGGCCUGCAGCAGCAGAUAUGAUUCAACUCCUAGCCACUGUAACUUUUAUGCUGCAGAUGUGGCCUUAAAAAGAAAAAAGAAAAAAGGAGAGAGAUGUUAAAUUAGGCUUAGUUGACAUAUUAAAUUACAUGAGAAACUGCAUUUUUUAAGAAAUAAUACUAAACCAUCUUUAUGCUUUGUUUGUAUAGGUUAAAAGUGUAUUCCCUAAAUUAUGUAAAAUUCCUAGAAAUCUAAUAUGUCUUGAAUAAUGUUAUCAGACAUAAUUCCAGUUAUUAUCUUUAAAUGUUGUAUGCUAUGGAAAUAACCAAAUAUCUUUGUCCCUACCAUUAUAAUAAACUCUCAUUAAAUCUUUAAUAAUGGGCAUUUUAAGUCUUUUGUCCCUAACAGAGAGUUACUGUUUUCCGUUGCUUUGGCAAAAGUGUUCUUACAAAAGUACUACAUCUCCAAGGAGAUUCAUGGGAAGAACUUUUGACAAGUAUAGUUUUUUGAUAACUUUAAGAACAUAAAAAUGGGGAGUUCCCAUUGUGGCACAGUGGAAAUGAAUCCAACUGGUGUCCCUGAUGAUGCGGGUUUAAUCCAUGACCUUGCUUAGUGAGUCAGGGAUCUGGUAUUGCAGUGAGCUAUGGUAUAGGUUGCAGAUGAGGCCAGGAUCCUGCAUUGCUGUGGCUGUGGUGUAGGCCAGCAGCUGCAGCUCCAAUUCCACCCCUACCCUGGGAACUUCCAUAUGCUGUGGGUGUGGCCCUAAGAAGCAAAAACAAAACAAAACAAAACACAUAAAAAUGAACUGGGUGAGAAUUUCCAGAACUAAUGGAAAAAUUGGAUUUAAGCGGAGUAAGGAGUUGGGACUGAAUGAAAUGAGAAGGGAAAUGUUUCUUAAUGAUUUGUUUUUCCAGGUGUAAGCAAACCUUCUCUUUUCAAGUUAUCAGCAGCCUGGUAAGAUACGUCUUUGUGAACAAAUAUGAAAUAUUUACUUUUUCUACCUGCUUGUUCCCUCCGAAAUUUGGAAACUAUUGAGUAUUCUUUUCAUGGCAUAUAACAUAACUAUAUGCUAGUCAUUUAUCUAAGAUAAGCAAAAAUCUGGUCUCUUUGUAACAGGACAUAUUAGAAACAUUGGCUAUCUGAGGCUUUGGCUGGAGUAUCUGACUUGAGAGAAAGAUCACAGACUCAGAUAUGAGAAAGCUUUAGGACACUGCUUGAACUUUGGCUUGGUUUUCUGGCCUCAAGAAGUUCUUGAGUUCAAUCUGAGAUUAGUUAUAAAAAGUUCUAGGAAAGGAGUCUUAAGAAGAGCUUAUAAGGUCAAUCACUGUUCUUGCCACACUUGUAUAAAUAGUUAAGCCAAAUUUAAUGCAAAAAAAUCAGUUUUGCUGUGAUGUUCCUUGGAAAAAAAGAAACAGGGAUAAUUGCAGAGAAAAAAUUAUGUUUUCACCUUUGUGUAUACUAGACUGUAGUCUUAUUAAUUGUCUUUGAGGUUUUGUUAUUUACCUGUAAAUCUGAUUGGAUCCUGUUGCACCUGGGUUAACUGUUCUAGGUAAGUUGAAACUCAGUGAGGUAAGAUCACUGAGCAAGCCACUUGGUUUAAAAGGGUGAUUCCUUCAUGAAGGUCUUAAAAACUCACUUGAUUUUGAUUGGUUUGGGUCUGGGCUCUGAAAGAUACCCCAGAUAUUGGGAAUUACCUGGCUUAUAAUAGUCAUAGUAAUCUUCUGGUGCACUGUGUUUUCUCAAAGGCUUUCUUUAUUUUUUGGCCACACCCAUGUCAUGUGGAAGUUCCCAGGCCAGGGAUAGAACCCGCACCACAGCAGUGACAAUGCUGGAUCCACAACCUGCUGAGCCUCCAGGGAACUCCUCAAAGACUUCAAGUGUGUGUUCACAGCUGUUCACCACCAGGCAAAUGAUCUGAAGAUGGGAACAUAAGAAAGGAAUGAAGAGAAGGAUUCGUUUAGAGAUUAUGGGCCUGAAGUCACAACCUGGCACUAUCCCAAGGAUUAAGCAGAAACCCAAUGACCCACAAACACCACACAAGGAUCAAAAAAAGCAGCUGUGAGAACUGCAGAGCCAUAGCUGAGAACGAUGCUUAAUGCCUUAAAUUUUGAUCACAUUAAGCUAGGAGUCUGAUAGAAGUGUGUGUUUGGGGGCUUGUUAAAAAAGAAAUGUCAGGCUCUGUAUGGAGUCUCUUGUGCUAAGCCCCACGUCAUCAAACCAAGACUUAAUACUUAACCUAACUGCGGUGACAACCUCCCCCAGAAAUGCUGUCUUCACUGGUCAGUCUGGCAUUUUCUGGUCAGCACAGGUAAGGUAAUCUGCCAUGUAGUCCACUUCAGUCCCUGACAGGUGGGUUACCUAGGCCUGAAAAGUCUGCUCUUUCCCCUCUCCUGCCACAGCAGCCUUCCAUGCUGUAUAGCUCCCUGGAGCUCUUUGCUACUUACUAGAUGGGAUGCUGCCCAAUUUAUGAAUCAUUUGAUAAAGCCAACUGGAUCUUUAAAAUUUACUCGAUUGAAUAUUUUUUCUUAGAGUAUAGUUGAUUUACAUUGUUGUAUCAAUUUCUGCUGUACAGCAUAGUGACCCGGUCAUAUAUAUAUAUUCUUUUUCUCAUACUAUCUUUCACCAUGUUCUAUCCCAAGAGACUGGAUAGAGUGCCCUGUGCUGUACAGCAGGGCCUCUUGGCUUACCCACUCUAAAUGUAAUAGUUUGAAUCUACCAACCCCAAACUCCCAGUCCAUCCCACUCCCUCUCCCCUCUCCUCAGCAACCACAAGUCUGUUCUCUAUGUCUCUGAGUCUGUUCCUGUUUCAUAGAUAGGUUUAUUUGCACCAUAUUUUAGAUUCCUCAGGUAAGUGCUACUGAAUCUUAAUACUUGCACUUCCUCUCUGUGCACGCCUCACCCACACGGCUGGCAUACAUCUGCCUGAGUGUUUGGGUUCAUUCUGUCUUCCUAGUCUAUAACUUCCCUCUCCUCUCCAGAUAUCAAGCUCUUACCAAUUCAGCCAGGGCCAUGUGACCCCUAUCCCCUUUGUGAAGCUUCCUGGUCAUUCACAGACACCACUCCUUCUGAAUGCUUGUAGGGACUGCUGUCUGCAAACUUGGCACUGCUUGGUUAUGAGAUCGUUUUUCAUGUUAUGUCUUACCUUCCUCUGUUAGUCUAUAAGUUCCUUGAAGAUAAGGACCAUUUUUUUUGUUUUUUAUUUUAUUCCACCAUGUGUAUAUUCAUAUAUACCAUACAUAGUGCUAAGUAAAUAUUUGUGACUCAAUCCUUUAAACGGGCUAAAGAACAUAUGAUUAGGAAUAAACCUAAGUAACGAAAUCUGAAUUCAGAUACAACAUGAACAUUUCUGCUUCUGGAACUUAAGAUUGUGUGUGUGUGUGCGUGUGUGUGUCACACAGAGAGGUAAAACAUUUAUAACUUAGGCAAAUAGCAUGAACUCCCUUUAUAUAAGAAGCCAUCCUACAUUUUACCAGAAGUGGUUUGAUUAGGCUUUAUUAGGUGAUCUUUUCAAGGAUUUCAAUCUAAAGAUUUAUUUUUACCAAAAAUUAGUAAUAAGAAAAAGAAUUUAUUAAUAAAUGAUACUGGUAGUUUGGUUAAUAAUGAGGAAAUUCUUUAUUCUACACACUAAAAUAAAGUUCAGAUAGUCUCAGCAGUUAAAUUUUUUUAAACUAGAAAAAAAAAUUCAAUAAACCUAAGAGAAGAUAUUUCCUAAAUUUAAAACACUAGAAAUUACUAAGGGGAAAAAUUCUCCCAGAUUUAAUUAUAAAAAAUUUUAAGAUUUUGUUAUAAGCUUUGGCAUAGAAAAGUAAACCAUAUAUUUUUUUUUUUUUUAAAAAAGGACAAUCUACAGAAUGGGACAAAAUAGUUGCAAAUGAUGCAACUGACAGGGCUUAAUCUCUGAAAUAUAUAAAAACUUAUACAACUCAAUGACAAAAAAACAAACAACCCAAAUGAAAAAUGGGCAGAAGACCUAAAUAGACAUUUCUCCAAAGAAGACAGACAGAUGGCCAAAAAUCACAUGAAAAGAUGCUUAACAUCACCCAUUAUUAGAGCAAUGGAGAUCAAAACUACAAUGAGGUACCACCUCACACUGGUCAGAAUAGGCAUCAUUAACAAGUCUACAAACAGUAAAUUCUGGAGAGGGUGUGGAGAAAAGGGAACACUCUACACUGUUGGUGGGAAUGUAAGCUGAUGCAACCACUAUGGAAAACAGUAUGGAGGUUCCGUAGAACUAUCACAUGGUCCAGCAAUACAACUCCUGGGCAUAUACCCGGACAAAACUACAAUUCAAAAGAUGCAUACCCCUAUAUUCACAGCAGCACUAUUCACAAUACCCAAUGCAUGGAAGCAACCCGAAUGUCCUUUGACAGAUGAAUGGAUUAAGAUGUGGUACAUGUACACAAUACUACUCAGCCAUAAAAAAGAGCAAAA
This 6136-nucleotide long non-coding RNA is filed under the name Sus scrofa (pig). RNAcentral describes it as "lncRNA (ENSSSCG00015074551.1)". Lineage: Eukaryota; Metazoa; Chordata; Mammalia; Artiodactyla; Suidae. The record is from RNAcentral.